UACGUAGGUGGCAAGCGUUGUUCGGAAUUACUGGGCGUAAAGGGCGCGUAGGCGGCCUGUUAAGUCGGACGUGAAAUCCCUCGGCUCAACCGGGGAACUGCGUCCGAUACUGGCGGGCUUGAAUUCGGGAGAGGGAUGUGGAAUUCCAGGUGUAGCGGUGAAAUGCGUAGAUAUCUGGAGGAACACCGGUGGCGAAGGCGGCAUCCUGGACCGACAUUGACGCUGAGGCGCGAAAGCCAGGGGAGCAAACGGG
This 253-nucleotide ribosomal RNA is filed under the name uncultured bacterium. RNAcentral's name for it is "partial 16S ribosomal RNA". It matches the Rfam family "Bacterial small subunit ribosomal RNA", at positions 524 to 776 of the family's 1533-position model. The record is from RNAcentral.